Non-coding RNA from Lolium perenne, 7099 nucleotides. Lineage: Eukaryota; Viridiplantae; Streptophyta; Magnoliopsida; Poales; Poaceae. The record is from RefSeq and is a predicted model, not a curated record.
AACCCUAGCGUAUCGAGAGCCUCCUCUCCUCUCCCAAUCCCCUGCCCCGUCUCCUCUCAUUCUCCCCCAAUCCGCCGCCUCCUCUCGUUUCCUCUCCCCCGCUCGGAAGCAGCACACCGCACCCCACGGCGCCGGCUGGACGGGGUGGCGGCGGCGGCACGCCGGACGCGGCGUCUGGACACGCGGUGGUGGCGGAGGCUCGUCGGACGGCCGGACGCGGUGGCGACGACGGAGGCUCGCCAGCCGGCCGAACGCAGCGACGAGGAAGACGCUUUGCAGUUGGAUGCGGCGGGGGUGACUGGACGCGGCGGAGCGGCAACAUGGGCUACAGGGAACGGUGGUGGAGGACGGCACGCCCGCGGCCUCCUCUCCUCUCACAGGUCGCCCUAGGCGCUGGUGGUUGUGCGCGCGCGCGUGUGUAGAGUGUGGCGGCAGCGAGCAUGAGCGGGUGAGGCGGCUGGAUGGAGGUCUUCGGGAGGUUGGACCUAGCGGGGAAGGACAACUCCCCUCUAGGGCGGCUGCUGGGAUGAGAGGAUGCAGGAAGAGGGAGAGAAGGGGUGGGAUCGGCCUUCCCGCCCCUGAGCGACACCGGCGGCCAACCACGUCGAGCUAGCGUUUGGGUGUCCUGAAGAUUCACCGACAGCAUCAAGCCAAUAACACACAUCAUUGGCUUUCAUGGACUCCAUGGCUGUUAUUUGUCUUGCUUCAACGUUUAUUCCCUUCUCUUCCCGUGCAAUCUGGUUGAUCUGUUCGUCUGUUGCUUGCUUCAUUGGGAUAUUUAUUGUUGCCUUUUCUGCUCUCGGAAUAGAGGCCAUAUAAUAAAAGGCGAAGAGCGGCGGUAAGCCAUGCCUACGACCGUGCUCAUGGUAGUAACCCAGAUCCCAACAAUUCAUGUUUACGGAUGUUCUCGGCCAGAGUUGGGCUUCCUUGUCGACGACUUGCCAUCUCGAGCACCUCUGCAGGUUAAUUGUGAAGAUAUGAGACUUCAGGAAAUAACCUUCAUAUUAGGUCUGGAACUUUAGGCUACAUCCCCAACUUAGUGUUAAGCCAGGCUUUGGAUGUCCAGGAGUUUCUUACACCACAACAUUAGUGUUCGUGGAGUCCAUUGUUGUUGCAGAGGACAUGAGAUCAAACUGGUUCUUUGGGAUGAUCGUGCAGCCUUCUUUGUUGGACCAUUCCCUGAGAUGGUAAAAGGUAUUUUGAGUAAUGGAAAUUAUUAUACUUGGAUUGUAAGUGUGAUGCGAUUUUUCUUUUAAACUAAACCAACCAUGAUUCGGUUUGGGCACAGAGUGCAUGACUGUUUUAGAGUAAGCUAACCUUGACUGUUUUAAAGUAAAUGGCAUAUUUUGAAUGAUUUCUUUUAUUCGAGCUUUGUUGACCACUAUUCUUUAUGUUAUGACAUUUUUUAUUUAUGCUUCGGAGCUAAUGCAACUAUGUGACCAAUCAUGUAUUUAUAAAGGUUUGCCACUUCUUUAUUUUGGUUCGACUUCUUUUAACUAUUUUGUUGUGUAUUCAAGUUUUUGCGGUUGUCACUACAACAUAAUAAUGAUCCAUGUUAAUCACCAAUGAGAACUAUAUGUGCAUGAAGUUAUUUAUUUAAUCUAGGAGGCCAAUAUAAUUUUGUAUCAAAAAAUAUGUUUAUACCAGCUUGCUAACCUGCAAUUUUUGCUAUAGUCGUGUAGCGGGUGGCGGAUUUCGAGCGAGCAACGACGACCUUGCGUGGGCACAGAGGCCAUGGUGAGCGAUGCGGAAAAGCUCGAUUUCGAGCGGAUCCGAGGAGAGAGGAAAAGCGCAAAUGCCUACGGGAGGAAGAGCAGCGCGGCUGACCGGGAACCGUUCAGUUGAUUGCAAUUAUGGUGCUGCACAGCACCCAGGCAGGCUGUCAAAGGCUGCCCCUUCUUUCUCUAUUUUAGCAACUGCAGUACCUGGUUUACACACUUCUUGCUUGGUAUUGUUUCCCUUCCACCAAUCUAUUUUUCUAAUUUGAUUAUAAAUCAUGCAGAUGGAUGCUACUAAUCAGGGAGUAGGUUGCAGCUCACUCAAAACAAUUCGGUGGUAAGCUUCUGUAAUUUUAUUCGGAGAAGAACAAUAAUAGUUAUACCAUCAUAUUGGCUCAUCAGCUUGGAGACAAUUUUGUUGGGUGAAAUUCUGCGAAUGCAGCAAUUUUCUUGUAUGUGCAAAAUUUAUUAUGGGUGCUUGUGUACUGAUGUUUCAAGUUCAUUCAUACAUUUAUGGAAAAGAAAAAUACAGUAUUGCAUUUUAAAAGAAAAACGAAUAAUGCAAAUAUCAAUAGCGGUGAAUUAAGGGUAAUCUGUAAUUACCUUGAUAAUAUAUCUGAACUCAUAUAUAUAUAACAAUUCAUUUUAUAGGAAUUUGAGAAGAUUUGUGCAGAGGGCCUCGUCAUCAUUUCAUGGUCGAGCUCUCAACAACUGUUACAUGUGGCCUUGGUCUGCUUGGUCUGCAAAGUGUGUGCACUUUCACAGCAACAGGGAGCGGAGCAUAAGCUUCUGCGGGCAGCAAGCCUGCAGUGUUUACCAGUAAUGAUCUGGUUUAUGAAGGAACAUUCAUACAUAUUUACUGAGUUUGAUGAUUGCAACAAGUUUUACAUGUGGCCUUGCACAAAUUGGCACUGUUGGAAGUGGCCAAAAGAAUGCCUGUAUACGGAUCUGCUUCUGGUGACCCCUUGCGGUUUAAAAGAGCUGUGGGCCAUAAGGAUCUCUUCUAUAUCGAUGACAGGGAGGUCGACUUCAAAGAGGCUAGGACAUUUUAAUUCAUGUAUGAAUCAGAUAAAUUUACACUUACUUUAUUUUGAUAAUGAAUUGGAAAUAUGUCUACCACAUGCAGAUUAUUGAAGCUCAUCUACCGAAAACUCCUCUCGACACAUCAGCUGUAGCUCACUGGCUAGCUAUUGAGGGCAUCCUCCAGCCUGCAAUUCUCUCAUGCUUCGGAUCAUUUAGCUUCCCUUGGUUUCCCCAUGUUCAUUGGAAAUCUCCUCUCGCUGAUAUUAUUUUUUCUGUCGGCUUUCUCACCUAUCUGUUCUCGGUGGAAUUUACUAUAUUAUAUGAACUCUCUUUUGUUGAUUUUUUUAAUUUGUUACCACUCCCUGAUCUUACUGCAAGCAGCUAUUUGAUGCUGAAUAGCACAUAGUUUGGUAAAACACUGGGAUGACCUUUUAUUGAUUAUUAUCUUGUCCCACUUAAAGGUUUCUUAGCUAUUGGGGUUCUUUGUUGGUUCACUGUGAAAAGAAACAAUGUAUGAUUUAUGACAUAAUAUCCAAAAUAACCAGCUUAGUGAAACAUAAUGAAGAUCCUAAGGGAAGAAAGGAAACUAUGCACAAAGAAAUUAGCCCAGGUGCUAUAGGUUUGUAAAGUAUUAGUAGCUUAUGCGGGAUAGCUGCGGUUUGUUGACUGGGAACAAGAGCCUCGGUGUUAGUAAUGUUGUUACUUAAGAUAGGAAAUAAUAGCUUUAAAAAUUAUCCCAAUCAAUACGUUUAAAGUAGUAGCAGCUUAUACAGAUAGUUGCAACAUGUGCCUACCUAUUUUUCUUCUUCACUUCUUGCUAUAUAGAUUCUAUAUUUUCCUUACAAUGGCUGGGCUAUUUACAUGUUAUUUUUUGUGUGCUGUUGUGGUGCCUAAUUACUAUUCUCGCACUUCUUUCGCUUCUUCAUUUACAUCUCUUUAAUUAUCAUUAUAGUUUUGAAAUUAAAAUGGUUGACUCAAGCUGCAAAAAUCAAAAUAGUACUUUUAAGAUGGUGACUGCUAUCAUUUUGUACUGAUAUCAUGUUUACCUUGAAUUUUCCCCCAGCUAAUGUACACUGAUAAUAGUGUGGAUUAUUUCCAUUCUGUUAAUGAUGUAGUAUCAUAUUUCCCUGACAUCUGAUAAUAGUGUGGAUUAUUUCCACUCUGUUUUUUUGAACCUUUUAUUUUUCACAUGUCAAGGGCUAAAGAGUAAAGAAAGAAGUGACUUCAUAUUACUUUUAUUUCCACUCUGUUACUGAUUUAGUAUCAUAUUUCCCUGAGAUCUGAUAAUACAUCGUCCUGAUAAAAUGAUCAAUGCAUGGGCCUGAAAUUUCAGACAUGUGCCAAUAUUUUUGUAGUUGGAUGAUUUAUGUUGCACUUAGAUGGCGAUGAUUAAAUCAUUUGUUCUUAUUAUGUACCCAAUGUUCUUACUAUGCAUGUUUGUGACUUAAAAUCACCCGAGCAAGAUGAUAGGAUAUGCAGCAAUCAUACAAUUCAGGUUUGGAAAGAUUAGGAAUGAAAAUAGAAGGGGCCAUACACAUACAAGAUCAUUCAAAGCUGUGCUGAAUGAAAUCGUAAUCGGGAAGACAUUGAACUGAAAUCAUGUUCUUGUUUAGUUAUGCCAUAGAUUUGUUUGGUCUGAUUAUAGAUGACGCCCUUUAACUUGGCACUACCUAUUUAGAAGUGUUCACGGGAAGUUUCUUCCCUGCACGCUAUACGAUUAAAAAAUGAUCAAUUAGUUUACUUGUUUCUUGCUAUCAUUUUAAUUGAGGUGAUGCUUAAAUAAUCUGGGAUUUUUACGAUGGAUAGUGGUUUAUCUACAAAUCUAAUAGUUUGAUAGGCCUCUGCCCAUUAUGAUGAUAGGUUGCCUGAAAUGGUUCAAAUUUACAUCAAAUGAGGCAUACAUGAGGCUGUUUGAUGGGUUCCAAUGGUUCAUGUUGUCCUGCAUUAGGUUUCAUUGUGUUGGGAGGAGGUGCAGUGAUUUUGCCGCAGUUUUUUCUACCUAAAAUACUUCUUCAGCACCGUUAUUUCAUCAUGUUAAUGUCUUUGCAAUCUGAAUUUUGUACAGGUAGUGUCGAUCCUGGUUCUGGGAAUUGAUUUGGGCAACUUUUGAAGUUUGGUUCUCAUAUAUUGGUCCUGAAAGAUAUUUUUUUUGCAAGUGGCCAAUUGAUGUUACGCUUAUUUGAAAGCCAAGCCCGGUAUGUCUCGGGCUCUUCUUUUCUAUUCUGCAUUUCUUCAGAAAAAUAUAUUACUCUCUGGGCUUGAUGAUUUUGGUAACAAGUGUUUAAUAUGCUAGAAUUUGGUACAAAAUUAAAUUUUAGUGUGUUCUCCAGUAGUCGAGUAGCUGCUUGUCUGUUAUUUACUUCUUAUUUUAGUUUAUAGUUUUCUAUGCUUCAUUUUCCCGGUGAUGUGCAAGAAGUUUAAUUUAUGCCAGAACCUGUAUAUGAGUCCCUGCACAUCCAUUCUCAUUAAGAAAAUAAUAUUUACACUCUACUAUGUAUGCAUGAGCUACUAUUAUAGAGCUCUUAUUGCCAAACAGGUCCUUCAAUGUACACCAAGUGCACACCACUUGGCAUGCCAGCUAAUUUGUUGCUUUUAGGAUGUUACAUGUGCUGUAGGUGGCUUAAUACGGAUACAAAUAAUAUUCUUCCUUUUUACUCAUGAACAACAAGUACUCAGUUUUUCAGUGUGCCUGCAACCCAGUUCGGCAACAACAAGAGCACAUGGUAUUUGCUCUGUCAGUAUAUCACAAUUUAAUUAUGUUUGUAGGUGUGCUUGCUAUGCAAUAAUCAGAGCCGGAAUUAAUGAGUGGGGCUUUUAACAUGAUUCUGUGUUGCAUCUAGCUCCACAAGCCACCUUAAACAUCCUUUUAAGACCUGAUUGUGUAUGACUGAUUAUGCCAAGGUCUUUAAUCUACCUUUUGUUGACUCGAUAGAGGUUUUCUAGGAUACUCAAUCUCUGCAUGUGUUAUAUGCGUCGGCCAACUUUGUGUCCGCUGAUGACCGGUACCUCCGCGGCAUUAGCUAAUUUUUCUAGCGUACAGAUUUUAGUAGAAAAACGAAUGUUGUUAUGAAAGAUUUUUCAGACCAGAAAACACAUAAGAGCCCGCGAGAUCAAGGGGAACCAGUAUGCAUCUUGUUUGGAAUGCAUUUGGCCAGCUGCCAUGGAUGUGGUAUGUUGGCAUUACAAAAAUUUAUAUUUUCUUCAUGUUGGGUAGUGUGUUGUAUAACACCUCGGCUUGCUUAUUUCUUCAUGUUGUGUAGUGCUACAAAGGAAAAUGAUCAAUUAGUGUACUUGUUUCUUUCUGUCAUUUAAUUGAGGUGAUGCUUAAAUUAUCUGGCACUGUUUGAAAUACUACAGAAAUAGAUGCAUGUAUAUUUUCCUUUGCAGCCCUUGCAUUUAUGAUACACAACAUGUUGUAUUUUCUGUAGAUAAACCACCUUUAUUUGUCUACUUCACCAUUUGAUUUACACUUAUUCACAACACAGUACACUUGUUUACUUUACCAUGUGAUUUCCGGUGAGCUUCACACUCACAUCCAUAGUUGAUUCUGUUCCCUGUAGAAAAUUCAUAGUAGCUAUGCUUUGUUAUGUUAAUGGAUUUGACAAAGAUAAUGAUGACCCAAGCAUGUUUUAUUUCAUAGCUGUGGAAAUCUGAGCAAGGUGCAGUUCCCCUCCAAGUUACCCUCCAAGUGUGUAGCGUGUGAUUCGCCAUGUUGAGGAAUGCUGCAUUUACUUGCAUAUAAUCCUCCCCUUUUUUUGUAAAAUUAGAGCUUAAAUCAGCUAGCCAGUAGCAACUAAAUGCCCGGGUAGGUUGAGAUGUUGAUGGAGCUGAUAAGCUCUAUUACUUUGUGAAUUAAUGAUUGCUGGUAUCACUAGGAUAGUAGUUAAUGAAUCUUGAAAUCAUGUCUCGCCAUGCAUAAUUUUGCUGAUUGGUUGCUGUUUUGAGUACAAGAAAAUAAAGAUCCGGGGCACUGAAAGCAUCCUUAUAUGUAGUUGAACUGGAUGACCACUUCUGAUGUUGUUUUGCAAUCAUGAUAUGUUCAGAAUUACUAUUGGAAGGGUGGUGAUGAUGUCGCUCUCUAGACAGCCUGGCAGAAGAUUAAGCGGUCGAUUACCUGAAGUUGUUUUAUCGUGUAGCUUACUAAUAAUCUAAGACAUCUCUAUUGUUUGGUUCAUUGUAAUCUGGUAUACUGUUGCAGUAGAGCUUUAUGAUGACAUUAUUGUCACUUUACUUGCAAUAUAGUAUUAUUGAUGCUUAAAAUUUACAUUAUUUCUGGGUAUUUACUUGCUAUUCAUGUAAAUAAUGUACCUUCAAAAUACUUACUAUGAUCCAUAGUAGAUAUCGCUGAUUCACUCUAG